CUCAACCUGGGAAUUGCAUUUUGAACUGGCAUGCUAGAGUCCUGAAGAGGGUGGUAGAAUUUCCAGUGUAGCGGUGAAAUGCGUAGAUAUUGGAAGGAAUACCGGUGGCGAAGGCGGCCACCUGGUCAGAGACUGACGCUGAGGUACGAAAGCGUGGGGAGCAAACAGGAUUAGAUACCCUGGUAGUCCACGCCGUAAACGAUGUCAACUAGUUGUUCGUGUCAUUAAGACGUGAGUAACGCAGCUAACGCACUAAGUUGACCGCCUGGGGAGUACGGCCGCAAGGUUAAAACUCAAAUGAAUUGACGGGGGCCCGCACAAGCGGUGGAGCAUGUGGUUUAAUUCGAUGCAACGCGAAGAACCUUACCAUCCCUUGACAUCCAGUGAAUUUUCCAGAGAUGGAUUAGUGCCUUCGGGAACAC
This 422-nucleotide ribosomal RNA is filed under the name uncultured Gammaproteobacteria bacterium. Its description in RNAcentral is "bacterial SSU rRNA". It matches the Rfam family "Bacterial small subunit ribosomal RNA", at positions 608 to 1029 of the family's 1533-position model. Lineage: Bacteria; Pseudomonadati; Pseudomonadota; Gammaproteobacteria. The record is from RNAcentral.